RNAcentral lists this ribosomal RNA (407 nucleotides) under uncultured Chloroflexota bacterium. RNAcentral's name for it is "bacterial SSU rRNA". It matches the Rfam family "Bacterial small subunit ribosomal RNA", at positions 521 to 926 of the family's 1533-position model. Lineage: Bacteria; Bacillati; Chloroflexota. The record is from RNAcentral.
UAAGACGUAGGAGACGAGCGUUAUCCGGAUUUACUGGGCGUAAAGCGCGUGCAGGCGGUCCAGCAAGUUGGAUGUGAAAGCUCCCGGCUUAACUGGGAGAGGUCGUUCAAUACUACUGGACUUGAGAGUGGUAGAGGGAGGUGGAAUUCCGGGUGUAGUGGUGAAAUGCGUAGAUAUCCGGAGGAACACCAGUGGCGAAAGCGGCCUCCUGGACCACUUCUGACGCUCAGACGCGAAAGCUAGGGGAGCGAACGGGAUUAGAGACCCCGGUAGUCCUAGCCGUAAACGAUGUAGACUUGGCGUUGGUGGGUUCAAAUCCAUCAGUGCCGAAGCUAACGCGAUAAGUCUACCGCCUGGGGACUACGGCCGCAAGGUUAAAACUCAAAGGAAUUGACGGGGGCCCGCAC